RNAcentral lists this ribosomal RNA (439 nucleotides) under uncultured bacterium. RNAcentral's name for it is "bacterial SSU rRNA". It matches the Rfam family "Bacterial small subunit ribosomal RNA", at positions 338 to 769 of the family's 1533-position model. The record is from RNAcentral.
CCUACGGGGGGCAGCAGUAGGGAAUCUUCCGCAAUGGGCGAAAGCCUGACGGAGCAACGCCGCGUGAGUGAUGAAGGUCUUCGGAUCGUAAAACUCUGUUAUUAGGGAAGAACAAAUGUGUAAGUAACUGUGCACGUCUUGACGGUACCUAAUCAGAAAGCCACGGCUAACUACGUGCCAGCAGCCGCGGUAAUACGUAGGUGGCAAGCGUUAUCCGGAAUUAUUGGGCGUAAAGCGCGCGUAGGCGGUUUCUUAAGUCUGAUGUGAAAGCCCACGGCUCAACCGUGGAGGGUCAUUGGAAACUGGGAAACUUGAGUGCAGAAGAGGAAAGUGGAAUUCCAUGUGUAGCGGUGAAAUGCGCAGAGAUAUGGAGGAACACCAGUGGCGAAGGCGACUUUCUGGUCUGUAACUGACGCUGAUGUGCGAAAGCGUGGGGAUC